AGCAGCCGCCACGGGAAUACGUAGGGUGCAAGCGUUAAUCGGAAUUACUGGGCGUAAAGCGUGCGCAGGCGGUUAUAUAAGACAGAUGUGAAAUCCCCGGGCUCAACCUGGGAACUGCAUUUGUGACUGUAUAGCUAGAGUACGGCAGAGGGGGAUGGAAUUCCGCGUGUAGCAGUGAAAUGCGUAGAUAUGCGGAGGAACACCGAUGGCGAAGGCAAUCCCCUGGGCCUGUACUGACGCUCAUGCACGAAAGCGUGGGGAGCAAACAGGAUUAGAUACCCGAGUAGUCCCUGUCUCUUAUAC
This 303-nucleotide ribosomal RNA is filed under the name uncultured bacterium. Its description in RNAcentral is "partial 16S ribosomal RNA". It matches the Rfam family "Bacterial small subunit ribosomal RNA", at positions 507 to 807 of the family's 1533-position model. The record is from RNAcentral.